RNAcentral lists this unclassified non-coding RNA (381 nucleotides) under fungal sp. RNAcentral's name for it is "partial internal transcribed spacer region". The stretch from base 1 to 46 matches the Rfam family "Eukaryotic small subunit ribosomal RNA", at positions 1786 to 1831 of the family's 1831-position model. Lineage: Eukaryota; Fungi. The record is from RNAcentral.
AAGUCGUAACAAGGUUUCCGUAGGUGAACCUGCGGAAGGAUCAUUAACACAUCCUUUUCUAUAUCAAGCAAUGGCGCACAGUAUGAGCCUUUUGGGAGGAGGUCGGAGUGGCAAUGGUGUGGAAUCUCCUUCGGGGAUUUUGCCUUCCGACUAGACGCACACGGUCCACCGAGUUUCGAUUCGGUCGACUGGAGAGGCGCGGCUUCUACUCAUCAUGGUAUACAGUCUCUACCUGGCUGGCCCCAAACUUUUUUAAACCUCUUGAUUUUUGUACUGAUUCGGUUCGGAUCGAGAAGGGCUCUGCUCUUCUCUCUGGGCCUGAUGGAGAAAUCCAUUAAAUAAAUCAAAACACAACUCUUAACAGCGGAUAUCUCGGUUCUC